This is a long non-coding RNA of Mytilus californianus (California mussel), 313 nucleotides long. RefSeq lists it as uncharacterized. NCBI's taxonomy places the organism in Eukaryota, Metazoa, Mollusca, Bivalvia, Mytilida, Mytilidae. The transcript has 6 exons. The record is from RefSeq and is a predicted model, not a curated record.
AAUAUCCAGGGAUUGUGACAUCAUGAACAUGUUUGCAACCUUUUUGAUAUUAGUUUUAUUGGCAUGCACUUGGCAAGGUAUUGAUGGCCUUACAGAGCCUGUGCAAGAAUGUGUUAAAGUAUGCAAGAUAGAAUAUUUACCAGGGCGUGAGCUUGCCAUGUGCAUUAGCGGUUGCUCUGAUGGCGGGUGUCAGCGUUUAUGUGUAGAAAGCGAAGAUCCUGAACAGGAUAUUAAAAAAUGCUUUGACAGUUGUUAAAAACUUUCGGAAUUGCUUAUUUCAUGAAUCCUAAAGAUAAAGAGAGAGAGAGAAGCC